GUUCACAUGAUAAAAUUAAUUGUUCAGCAGACGUGAACUAAACUUCAUUCUGAGAAGA
This 58-nucleotide small nucleolar RNA is filed under the name Echinops telfairi (small Madagascar hedgehog). RNAcentral's name for it is "Small nucleolar RNA SNORD5 (ENSETEG00000026148.1)". The record is from RNAcentral. Lineage: Eukaryota; Metazoa; Chordata; Mammalia; Afrosoricida; Tenrecidae.